GCCGGCGUAGCUCAGCUGGUCGGAGCGAUCGCCUCGUAAGCGAUAGGUCGGGGGUUCGAAUCCCUCCGCCGGCU
RNAcentral lists this transfer RNA (74 nucleotides) under Thermoplasmata archaeon. Its description in RNAcentral is "tRNA-Thr". It matches the Rfam family "tRNA". From Rfam's summary of the family: Transfer RNA (tRNA) molecules are approximately 80 nucleotides in length. Lineage: Archaea; Methanobacteriati; Thermoplasmatota; Thermoplasmata. RNAcentral also lists the same sequence under 2 other names. The record is from RNAcentral.